GAAAUAUGUUAUACAAGUAAAAGCUGCUAACUUAUUAUUUUAGCGGUUAAAUUCCGUUUAUAUUUCU
Molecule: transfer RNA, 67 nt
Filed under: Bundoksia longissima
Lineage: Eukaryota; Metazoa; Arthropoda; Insecta; Blattodea; Blattidae
Description: tRNA-Ser
Source: RNAcentral